This 859-nucleotide ribosomal RNA is filed under the name Antipathes atlantica. RNAcentral describes it as "partial 16S ribosomal RNA". It matches the Rfam family "Bacterial large subunit ribosomal RNA", at positions 1819 to 2591 of the family's 2925-position model. The record is from RNAcentral. Lineage: Eukaryota; Metazoa; Cnidaria; Anthozoa; Antipatharia; Antipathidae.
CUCUCUGCUAUAUGAAAAAUAGAGUAUAGAGGGUGAGGCCUGCCCAAUGGUUGUAUCUAAAAGGGUCAGUAAGAGCUGACCUCAUAAAGACAAUUGAAUGGCCGCGGUAACACUGACCGUGAUAAUGUAGCGCAAUCAAUAGCCAAUUAAUUGUUGGCCGGUAUGAAUGGCGUCACGAAGGCCCCACUGUCUUAAGAAGAUUCCCAGUGAAAUUGAAAUCGUAGUGAAGAUGCUACGUCCAAAUUGUUAGACGAAGAGACCCCAUUGAGCUUUACUGAAAACUUAUAUGGCUGAAAUAUAUUUUUGCUCAAAUGAGGAAAAUUUAAACUUAAAUAAAUAGCUAAAUUAUGUGGUGAAAGAUAUUUUUAUCGAAGUUUUGUUUUUUGAUUCUUUUUCUUUAAGAGAAAAAAUCUUAAUUCAAAUAUUCCGUAGGUUAAUGGAAACCACUCUUAUAUUUUAAGAGAGCUAACUCUUUUUCAUGGUUUAUAUCUAAUGAUAAGAGGAAAAAUGUAAGUUGGACAGUUUGGUUGGGGCGACCGCCUUUUAAAAAGUAACGAAGGUGAGCUUAAGGUGCAUAAAUAAUAUCAGCAGCCUGACUGCAAGGGAGACAUUCCGAGCAGACACUUGUUCCCGCUAAGACUUAGAAAAAACAAGUUCUUGGAGCGGAGGAAAGUGGGCUAUAAUGACCCGUUAAUUUAGAGUGAGAAUAGUUAACGAUCAACGGAUAAAAGCUACCAUGGGGAUAACAGCGUAAUAUCGUUUGAGAGCUUUCAUCGACGACGAUGUUUGCGACCUCGAUGUUGAAUUGCAGCAUCCUGGGGUGCAGUCGCUCCCAAGGGUUGGUCUGUUCGUCCAUAAG